RNAcentral lists this ribosomal RNA (445 nucleotides) under uncultured bacterium. RNAcentral describes it as "bacterial SSU rRNA". It matches the Rfam family "Bacterial small subunit ribosomal RNA", at positions 354 to 796 of the family's 1533-position model. The record is from RNAcentral.
GUAGGGAAUCUUCCGCAAUGGACGAAAGUCUGACGGAGCAACGCCGCGUGAACGAUGAAGGUUUUCGGAUCGUAAAGUUCUGUUGUUAGGGAAGAACCGCCGGGAUAACCUCCCGGUCUGACGGUACCUAACGAGAAAGCCCCGGCUAACUACGUGCCAGCAGCCGCGGUAAUACGUAGGGGGCAAGCGUUGUCCGGAAUUAUUGGGCGUAAAGCGCGCGCAGGCGGCUUCUUAAGUCAGGUGUGAAAGCCCACGGCUCAACCGUGGAGGGCCAUCUGAAACUGGGAAGCUUGAGUGCAGGAGAGGAGAGCGGAAUUCCACGUGUAGCGGUGAAAUGCGUAGAGAUGUGGAGGAACACCCGUGGCGAAGGCGGCUCUCUGGCCUGUAACUGACGCUGAGGCGCGAAAGCGUGGGGAGCAAACAGGAUUAGAAACCCUUGUAGUCC